Molecule: transfer RNA, 75 nt
Filed under: Bacteroidales bacterium
Lineage: Bacteria; Pseudomonadati; Bacteroidota; Bacteroidia; Bacteroidales
Description: tRNA-Pro
Rfam family: tRNA
About the family: Transfer RNA (tRNA) molecules are approximately 80 nucleotides in length. Their secondary structure includes four short double-helical elements and three loops (D, anti-codon, and T loops).
Source: RNAcentral
CGGGGUGUAGCGCAGUCCGGCUAGCGCACCACGUUCGGGACGUGGGGGUCGGAGGUUCGAAUCCUCUCGCCCCGA